UUCAGAAACCGUACAACUCCCGAAGGAGCGGGCGGGCAAGCCACACCCAAAGCAAGACUAAAGCGAUAACAAUACAAAUCCAAGUUGCAGUCCAGUCGGACUCCGGGCUGCAAUCGGAACUAAGCGUCAGCGGAAGCAUCCUGCAAAAGGGCCAACACCGCAGGCAGCGUUGGGUGCAGACGCAACCUCCUACUCGAAGUCCUCGGCGACGAAGUCC
This 217-nucleotide long non-coding RNA is filed under the name Setaria italica (foxtail millet). RNAcentral's name for it is "long non-coding RNA (SITA_LNC000336)". The record is from RNAcentral. Lineage: Eukaryota; Viridiplantae; Streptophyta; Magnoliopsida; Poales; Poaceae.